RNAcentral lists this long non-coding RNA (251 nucleotides) under Oryza brachyantha (malo sina). RNAcentral's name for it is "long non-coding RNA (OBRA_LNC001940)". The record is from RNAcentral. Lineage: Eukaryota; Viridiplantae; Streptophyta; Magnoliopsida; Poales; Poaceae.
UAGGCAUAGGAUGCAUCUGGGAAGCUAAAAAAGAGGACAACAACAAGGGCUGCGCUGAUCAUCGAUCAGCGGUUGCAAAAGGUAGAGAACCACCGUGUCGCACUUGAAACAAAUCGACCUUUUGGCUUUGUUUACUGAUUUAGAAACAAUAAUCUAAGCCAUCGAUCGACCUCUAAUCCAAGUUCUGAGGGUUCCCAUGAACCUAGUCUAAAAAAUAUUUUAAUGAGUUUAUCUAUUUUUAUUAUAUACAC